GCUGCCGCAGUAUUCUGACUGUGCUAAGGUAGCAUAAUAAUUUGGUUUUUAAUUGAAGUCUAGAAUAAAAGAUUAGACAGUGUGGGUCACGUCUUUUAAAGUAGCUAAAAAAAUUUUUUCAGAAUGUAAAAAAACCUUCUAAAUUUAGAGGGACGACAAGACCCUAAAAUCUGUAAUUUUAAAUCUGCUUUAAGAAAUCCAAUGAAUUUUAAAGCCUUACUGGGGCGGUAAUUUCUACUAAACAAUUUAAAUAAGACCAUAUUGUAUGAAAUUAAAUUCCCCUUAUGUUAAAUAUUAAGAUACUUUAGGGAUAACAGCGUGAUUCCUCCCUAGAGACCUAAUCGCCGGGGGAGAUUACGACCUCGAUGUUGAAUUGAGAGCGCUAUUAUAAGCAGCCCUAUACCAAGCAAGUCUGUUCGACUUUUAAACUCUCACGUGAUCUGAGUUCAGACCGGA
Molecule: ribosomal RNA, 456 nt
Filed under: Trichoniscus pusillus
Lineage: Eukaryota; Metazoa; Arthropoda; Malacostraca; Isopoda; Trichoniscidae
Description: partial large subunit ribosomal RNA
Rfam family: Bacterial large subunit ribosomal RNA
Source: RNAcentral